This 465-nucleotide ribosomal RNA is filed under the name uncultured bacterium. Its description in RNAcentral is "partial 16S ribosomal RNA". It matches the Rfam family "Bacterial small subunit ribosomal RNA", at positions 28 to 507 of the family's 1533-position model. The record is from RNAcentral.
GACGAACGCUGGCGGCGUGCUUAACACAUGCAAGUCGAACGGAAAGGCCCCUUUGGGGGUACUCGAGUGGCGAACGGGUGAGUAACACGUGAGUAACCUGCCCUUGACUUCGGGAUAACUUCAGGAAACUGGGGCUAAUACCGGAUAGGAAUCCUUGCUGCAUGGUGGGGGUUGGAAAGCUUCGGCGGUUUUGGAUGGACUCGCGGCUUAUUAGCUUGUUGGUGGGGUAGUGGCUUACCAAGGCUUUGACGGGUAGCCGGCCUGAGAGGGCGACCGGCCACAUUGGGACUGAGAUACGGCCCAGACUCCUACGGGAGGCAGCGGUGGGGAAUAUUGCACAAUGGGCGGAAGCCUGAUGCAGCAACGCCGCGUGCGGGAUGACGGCCUUCGGGUUGUAAACCGCUUUCAGCAGGGGCGAAGCUUGUGGUGACGGUACCUGCAGAAGAAGCACCGGCUAACUACGUG